UACACAUGCAGUCCGACGUGAAAGGGGAGCAAUCCCCCGGUAGGGUGGCAAACGGGUGAGUAAGACAUGGGUGAUCUGCCCUGGAGAUGGGGAUAUCCCUCCGAAAGGGGGGGCAAUACCGAAUAGUAUCCGGUUCCGUGAAGGGGGCCGGGGAAAGGGAGGCCUCUGGUACAAGCUUCCGCUCCUGGAUGAGCCCAUGGCCCAUCAGCUAGUUGGUAGGGUAAAGGCCUACCAAGGCGACGACGGGUAGCUGGUCUGAGAGGACAACCAGCCACACUGGCACUGAGACACGGGCCAGACUCCUACGGGAGGCAGCAGUGAGGAAUAUUGCGCAAUGGGGGCAACCCUGACGCAGCAACGCCGCGUGUGGGAAGAAGGCUUUCGGGUUGUAAACCACUUUUGCCCGGGACGAAAGGGGGGACCUGAAUAAGGUUGCCCGAUGACGGUACCGGGAGAAUAAGCCACGGCUAACUCUGUGCCAGCAGCCGCGGUAAGACAGAGGUGGCAAGCGUUGUUCGGAGUUACUGGGCGUAAAGAGUCUGUAGGUGGUCUGUCAAGUCUUUGGUGAAAGGCCGUGGCUUAACCAUGGGAAUGCCAAAGAGACUGGCAGACUGGAGGCUGGGAGAGGGAAGCGGAAUUUCUGGUGUAGCGGUGAAAUGCGUAGAUAUCAGAAGGAAGGCCGGUGGCGAAGGCGGCUUCCUGAAACAGACCUGACACUGAGAGACGAAAGCGUGGGGAGCAAACAGGAUUAGAUACCCUGGUAGUCCACGCCCUAAACGAUGGGUACUAAGUGUGGGAGGGUUAAACCUCCCGUGCCGCAGCCAACGCAGUAAGUACCCCGCCUGGGGAG
This 850-nucleotide ribosomal RNA is filed under the name uncultured Leptospirillum sp. Its description in RNAcentral is "bacterial SSU rRNA". It matches the Rfam family "Bacterial small subunit ribosomal RNA", at positions 50 to 880 of the family's 1533-position model. Lineage: Bacteria; Pseudomonadati; Nitrospirota; Nitrospiria; Nitrospirales; Nitrospiraceae. The record is from RNAcentral.